RNAcentral lists this long non-coding RNA (511 nucleotides) under Homo sapiens (human). Its description in RNAcentral is "non-protein coding lnc-RGSL1-5:1". Lineage: Eukaryota; Metazoa; Chordata; Mammalia; Primates; Hominidae. The record is from RNAcentral.
GUGGGAGUCAACAUCCACCACAGCAAGGACAGAAAGGUUGGGUGCAGGGAGCCCAAGAGCUGGACAUCUACCUACGGCUGUUGGUCAAGCUGUCCACCUUCAGCCAGGUUAUACUGAAGAGGCUUUUUGUGAAUCGCACCAACCAGCCACCUCUGAUCCUGACCGGAAAAUGAAGCUUCCAGGCCCGGAAAACAAAACGGCUGUGGUUUCAGGCCCACAGCUGCGGCUGUGUGGGUUCAGGAGGUGCCCAGAGUAAAGCCUCGCACUGCGUGUGAGCGGCCAGGGCCCAGCCGCAUCCCCACGGCUGGGGCAAGAUCCGUACCUUUGAGCAGCUGGCCCUGGACUCCCGCAAGAGCUGUGGCACCAUCUUGCUUUUUGGCCCUCGAAAGGGCCCAUAGGGACACUGGCAUUUACCCCGGGAACCCCACACAGCUACACCAAACCCUACGUGGGUUCCAAGGGCCGAAAUUUUCACUGUGCCAGGGCCCCAUGGGCCAGCCGCACUAUAAAA